This 1016-nucleotide ribosomal RNA is filed under the name uncultured bacterium. RNAcentral describes it as "bacterial SSU rRNA". It matches the Rfam family "Bacterial small subunit ribosomal RNA", at positions 357 to 1376 of the family's 1533-position model. The record is from RNAcentral.
AGGAAUAUUGGUCAAUGGACGAGAGUCUGAACCAGCCAAGUAGCGUGCAGGAAGACGGCCCUAUGGGUUGUAAACUGCUUUUAUAAGGGAAUAAAGUGAGAGUCGUGACUCUUUUUGCAUGUACCUUAUGAAUAAGCAUCGGCUAACUCCGUGCCAGCAGCCGCGGUAAUACGGAGGAUGCGAGCGUUAUCCGGAUUUAUUGGGUUUAAAGGGAGCGCAGACGGGAGAUUAAGUCAGUUGUGAAAGUUUGCGGCUCAACCGUAAAAUUGCAGUUGAUACUGGUUUCCUUGAGUGCAGUUGAGGCAGGCGGAAUUCGUGGUGUAGCGGUGAAAUGCUUAGAUAUCACGAAGAACCCCGAUUGCGAAGGCAGCUUGCUAAACUGUAACUGACGUUCAUGCUCGAAAGUGUGGGUAUCAAACAGGAUUAGAUACCCUGGUAGUCCACACGGUAAACGAUGGAUACUCGCUGUUGGCGAUAUACUGUCAGCGGCCAAGCGAAAGCAUUAAGUAUCCCACCUGGGGAGUACGCCGGCAACGGUGAAACUCAAAGGAAUUGACGGGGGCCCGCACAAGCGGAGGAACAUGUGGUUUAAUUCGAUGAUACGCGAGGAACCUUACCCGGGCUUAAAUUGCAGACGAAUUACGAGGAAACUUGUAAGCCGCAAGGCGUCUGUGAAGGUGCUGCAUGGUUGUCGUCAGCUCGUGCCGUGAGGUGUCGGCUUAAGUGCCAUAACGAGCGCAACCCUCGUGGUCAGUUACUAACAGGUAACGCUGAGGACUCUGGCCAGACUGCCAUCGUAAGAUGUGAGGAAGGUGGGGAUGACGUCAAAUCAGCACGGCCCUUACGUCCGGGGCUACACACGUGUUACAAUGGGAGGUACAGAAGGCAGCUACCCGGCGACGGGAUGCCAAUCCCCAAAACCUCUCUCAGUUCGGACUGGAGUCUGCAACCCGACUCCACGAAGCUGGAUUCGCUAGUAAUCGCGCAUCAGCCACGGCGCGGUGAAUACGUUCCCG